This 279-nucleotide ribosomal RNA is filed under the name uncultured bacterium. RNAcentral describes it as "partial 16S ribosomal RNA". It matches the Rfam family "Bacterial small subunit ribosomal RNA", at positions 506 to 784 of the family's 1533-position model. The record is from RNAcentral.
UGCCAGCCGCCGCGGUAAAACGUAGGGGGCGAACGUUAUCCGGAAUUACUGGGCGUAUAGGGCACGCAGGCGGUUUGUUAAGUUAGAUGUGAAAGCUCCCGGCUUAACUGGGAGAGUGCGUUUAAAACUGGCAGACUUGAGUAUGAUAGAGGAAAGCAGAAUUCCUGGUGUAGUGGUGGAAUGCGUAGAGAUCAGGAGGAAUACCAGUGGCGAAAGCGGCUUUCUGGGUCAUAACUGACGCUGAGGUGCGAAAGCGUGGGGAGCGAACGGGAUUAGAUA